This 1202-nucleotide ribosomal RNA is filed under the name Enterococcus faecium. RNAcentral describes it as "bacterial SSU rRNA". It matches the Rfam family "Bacterial small subunit ribosomal RNA", at positions 108 to 1297 of the family's 1533-position model. The record is from RNAcentral. Lineage: Bacteria; Bacillati; Bacillota; Bacilli; Lactobacillales; Enterococcaceae.
GAGUAACACGUGGGUAACCUGCCCAUCAGAAGGGGAUAACACUUGGAAACAGGUGCUAAUACCGUAUAACAAUCGAAACCGCAUGGUUUUGAUUUGAAAGGCGCUUUCGGGUGUCGCUGAUGGAUGGACCCGCGGUGCAUUAGCUAGUUGGUGAGGUAACGGCUCACCAAGGCCACGAUGCAUAGCCGACCUGAGAGGGUGAUCGGCCACAUUGGGACUGAGACACGGCCCAAACUCCUACGGGAGGCAGCAGUAGGGAAUCUUCGGCAAUGGACGAAAGUCUGACCGAGCAACGCCGCGUGAGUGAAGAAGGUUUUCGGAUCGUAAAACUCUGUUGUUAGAGAAGAACAAGGAUGAGAGUAACUGUUCAUCCCUUGACGGUAUCUAACCAGAAAGCCACGGCUAACUACGUGCCAGCAGCCGCGGUAAUACGUAGGUGGCAAGCGUUGUCCGGAUUUAUUGGGCGUAAAGCGAGCGCAGGCGGUUUCUUAAGUCUGAUGUGAAAGCCCCCGGCUCAACCGGGGAGGGUCAUUGGAAACUGGGAGACUUGAGUGCAGAAGAGGAGAGUGGAAUUCCAUGUGUAGCGGUGAAAUGCGUAGAUAUAUGGAGGAACACCAGUGGCGAAGGCGGCUCUCUGGUCUGUAACUGACGCUGAGGCUCGAAAGCGUGGGGAGCAAACAGGAUUAGAUACCCUGGUAGUCCACGCCGUAAACGAUGAGUGCUAAGUGUUGGAGGGUUUCCGCCCUUCAGUGCUGCAGCUAACGCAUUAAGCACUCCGCCUGGGGAGUACGACCGCAAGGUUGAAACUCAAAGGAAUUGACGGGGGCCCGCACAAGCGGUGGAGCAUGUGGUUUAAUUCGAAGCAACGCGAAGAACCUUACCAGGUCUUGACAUCCUUUGACCACUCUAGAGAUAGAGCUUCCCCUUCGGGGGCAAAGUGACAGGUGGUGCAUGGUUGUCGUCAGCUCGUGUCGUGAGAUGUUGGGUUAAGUCCCGCAACGAGCGCAACCCUUAUUGUUAGUUGCCAUCAUUCAGUUGGGCACUCUAGCAAGACUGCCGGUGACAAACCGGAGGAAGGUGGGGAUGACGUCAAAUCAUCAUGCCCCUUAUGACCUGGGCUACACACGUGCUACAAUGGGAAGUACAACGAGUUGCGAAGUCGCGAGGCUAAGCUAAUCUCUUAAAGCUUCUCUCAGUUCGGA